Molecule: ribosomal RNA, 1439 nt
Filed under: uncultured organism
Description: SSU rRNA
Rfam family: Bacterial small subunit ribosomal RNA
Source: RNAcentral
UUAACACAUGCAAGUCGAGGGGCAGCAUGGUCUUAUCUUGCUAAGGCCGAUGGCGACCGGCGCACGGGUGAGUAACGCGUAUCCAACCUGCCUUACACUCUUGGACAGCCUUCUGAAAGGGAGAUUAAUACAAGAUGUUAUCAUGAGUAAGCAUUUUCGCAUGAUUAAAGGUUUACCGGUGUAAGAUGGGGAUGCGUUCCAUUAGAUAGUAGGCGGGGUAACGGCCCACCUAGUCUUCGAUGGAUAGGGGUUCUGAGAGGAAGGUCCCCCACAUUGGAACUGAGACACGGUCCAAACUCCUACGGGAGGCAGCAGUGAGGAAUAUUGGUCAAUGGACGAGAGUCUGAACCAGCCAAGUAGCGUGAAGGAUGAAGGUUCUAUGGAUUGUAAACUUCUUUUAUACGGGAAUAAACGAAUCCACGCGUGGAUUUUUGCAUGUACCGUAUGAAUAAGGAUCGGCUAACUCCGUGCCAGCAGCCGCGGUAAUACGGAGGAUCCGAGCGUUAUCCGGAUUUAUUGGGUUUAAAGGGAGCGUAGAUGGGUUGUUAAGUCAGUUGUGAAAGUUUGCGGCUCAACCGUAAAAUUGCAAUUGAUACUGGCAGUCUUGAGUACAGUUGAGGUAGGCGGAAUUCGUGGUGUAGCGGUGAAAUGCUUAGAUAUCACGAAGAACUCCGAUUGCGAAGGCAGCUUACUAACCUGUAACUGACAUUGAUGCUCGAAAGUGUGGGUAUCAAACAGGAUUAGAUACCCUGGUAGUCCACACGGUAAACGAUGAAUACUCGCUGUAGGCGAUAUACAGUCUGCGGCCAAGCGAAAGCAUUAAGUAUUCCACCUGGGGAGUACGCCGGCAACGGUGAAGCUCAAAGGAAUUGACGGGGGCCCGCACAAGCGGAGGAACAUGUGGUUUAAUUCGAUGAUACGCGAGGAACCUUACCCGGGCUUAAAUUGCAACCGAAUAUGGCGGAAACGCUAUAGCUAGCAAUAGCGGUUGUGAAGGUGCUGCAUGGUUGUCGUCAGCUCGUGCCGUGAGGUGUCGGCUUAAGUGCCAUAACGAGCGCAACCCUUGCCGAUAGUUACUAACAGGUCAUGCUGAGGACUCUGUCGGGACUGCCAUCGUAAGAUGUGAGGAAGGUGGGGAUGACGUCAAAUCAGCACGGCCCUUACGUCCGGGGCUACACACGUGUUACAAUGGGGGGUACAGAGGGCUGCUACCACGCAAGUGGAUGCCAAUCCCAAAAACCUCUCUCAGUUCGGAUUGAAGUCUGCAACCCGACUUCAUGAAGCUGGAUUCGCUAGUAAUCGCGCAUCAGCCACGGCGCGGUGAAUACGUUCCCGGGCCUUGUACACACCGCCCGUCAAGCCAUGGGAGCCGGGGGUACCUGAAGUGCGUAACCGCAAGGAGCGCCCUAGGGUAAAACUGGUGACUGGGGCUAAGUCGU